UGAACGCUGGCGGCGUGCCUCAUACAUGCACGUCGCGCGAACAGAUGCGGAGCUUGCUCCUCUGACGUUAGCGGCGGACGGGUGAGUAACACGUGGAUAACCUACCUAUAAGACUGGGAUAACUUCGGGAAACCGGAGCUAAUACCGGAUAAUAUAUUGAACCGCAUGGUUCAAUAGUGAAAGACGGUUUUGCUGUCACUUAUAGAUGGAUCCGCGCCGCAUUAGCUAGUUGGUAAGGUAACGGCUUACCAAGGCAACGAUGCGUAGCCGACCUGAGAGGGUGAUCGGCCACACUGGAACUGAGACACGGUCCAGACUCCUACGGGAGGCAGCAGUAGGGAAUCUUCCGCAAUGGGCGAAAGCCUGACGGAGCAACGCCGCGUGAGUGAUGAAGGUCUUCGGAUCGUAAAACUCUGUUAUUAGGGAAGAACAAAUGUGUAAGUAACUAUGCACGUCUUGACGGUACCUAAUCAGAAAGCCACGGCUAACUACGUG
This 495-nucleotide ribosomal RNA is filed under the name uncultured bacterium. RNAcentral's name for it is "partial 16S ribosomal RNA". It matches the Rfam family "Bacterial small subunit ribosomal RNA", at positions 30 to 507 of the family's 1533-position model. The record is from RNAcentral.